RNAcentral lists this long non-coding RNA (964 nucleotides) under Mytilus galloprovincialis (Mediterranean mussel). The record is from RNAcentral. Lineage: Eukaryota; Metazoa; Mollusca; Bivalvia; Mytilida; Mytilidae.
ACUUGUACACGACAUAUACAUUUAAACGAUUUCUUGUAGGACCGAACUUUGCUUUACAAUUAAUCGAAGAAACUGCAUGAUUUUAAAAAAAUGAAUUGAUGGCAAACAUUGUCUUUACCUUUAAAUGAGAGGUUGGCAUCAUUAUUUGGAACUUCUGUUUUAAAAUUGUCGUUUUAUGAAAUUUGGUCAAAAAAUAUAAAUUUCCCCAAAUGACGUUAUGAAAGCAAAAAAUAAAAUAUUUGUAAACGGAUUAAUAUUUCCAUAAGUAUUACUACCUUCAAUAUUGGUCCUAUACACGGAAAACUUCAUCUUUCAUUUGAAUCAAAAGUCUUGUACAGUUUCUUUUGUUGACUAGUAUAUAUAGAUUUAUGUUUUUGGAACUCUGUUAGAAACUAAUGCAGCAUCAUUAUACUUUUCGACAGGUUUCUGAUAUACUUUCGAGCAUUUUAUCUGAGGCAUGCAAACCAUUGAAAGAAAAAUGAGGACAAUUUAAAUACAUAAAUCGUCUCAAAUAGUCUUACUUAAAGUUUACUCCAUGUAUCUAGGGAACCUGAAUGGUCCAUGGUUCAUAACAUUACCUUACGGGUUCACACACACACAAAAAAGCAAAGACUAAAGACGUUCUUCGUCUUCAUUUUAUAUGUUAUGAGGUGUAAACGAAGAGGUACUUUAUAAGGGCGUAUGCUUUCAAACACUUUGUGGUCAAAGUGUGUUAAAAGUAAACACAGUGUGAAAAGUUAUACAUAUUAAAACUGAUUUUUUUAGCUCACCUGGCCCAAAGGGCCAAGUGAGCUUUUCCCAUCACUUGGCGUCCGUCGUCCGUCGUCGUCGUCGUCCGUCGUCGUUAACUUUUACAAAAAUCUUCUCCUCUGAAACUACUGGGCCAAAUUAAACCAAACUUAGCCACAAUCCUCAUUGGGGUAUCUAGUUUAAAAAAUGUGUGGCGUGACCCGGCCAACCAACC